Molecule: ribosomal RNA, 406 nt
Filed under: uncultured bacterium
Lineage: Bacteria
Description: partial 16S ribosomal RNA
Rfam family: Bacterial small subunit ribosomal RNA
Source: RNAcentral
AUUGAACGCUGGCGGCAGGCCUAACACAUGCAAGUCGAGCGAGCGGCGGACGGGUGAGUAAUGUCUGGGGAACUGCCUGAUGGAGGGGGAUAACUACUGGAAACGGUAGCUAAUACCGCAUACCAUCGGAUGUGCCCAUAUGGGAUUAGCUUGUAGGUGGGGUAACGGCUCACCUAGGCGACGAUCCCUAGCUGGUCUGAGAGGAUGAGCAGCCACACUGGGACUGAGACACGGUCCAGACUCCUACGGGAGGCAGCAGUGGGGAAUAUUGCACAAUGGGCGCAAGCCUGAUACAGCCAUGCCGCGUGUAUGAAGAAGGCCUUCGGGUUGUAAAGUACUUUCAGCGGGGAGGCGUUACCCGCAGAAGAAGCACCGGCUAACUCCGUGCCAGCAGCCGCGGUAAUAC